Geotrichum bryndzae is the source of this 87-nucleotide non-coding RNA. The record is from the annotation of a GenBank genome assembly. NCBI's taxonomy places the organism in Eukaryota, Fungi, Ascomycota, Dipodascomycetes, Dipodascales, Dipodascaceae.
GGUUUUGUAGUGUAGUUGGUUAUCACAGUGGAUUCUGAUGUUAUCAUUUGAUUUCCACUAACCCCGGUUCGAAUCCGGGCAAGACCU